RNAcentral lists this transfer RNA (69 nucleotides) under Marmota marmota marmota (Alpine marmot). It matches the Rfam family "tRNA". From Rfam's summary of the family: Transfer RNA (tRNA) molecules are approximately 80 nucleotides in length. Their secondary structure includes four short double-helical elements and three loops (D, anti-codon, and T loops). RNAcentral also lists the same sequence under 1 other name. Lineage: Eukaryota; Metazoa; Chordata; Mammalia; Rodentia; Sciuridae. The record is from Rfam by way of RNAcentral.
UGGAGUGUAGCUCAGUGGUAAAGCACAUGCUUAGCAUGCAUGAAGACCUGGCUCAAUUCUUAGCACCAA